RNAcentral lists this ribosomal RNA (793 nucleotides) under uncultured bacterium. Its description in RNAcentral is "bacterial SSU rRNA". It matches the Rfam family "Bacterial small subunit ribosomal RNA", at positions 104 to 909 of the family's 1533-position model. The record is from RNAcentral.
GGGUGAGUAAAAGGUAGGAAUCUACCCCUUGGACGGAGAUAGCUACUGGAAACGGUAGGUAAACUUCGAUAAGCCCGAGAGGGGAAAGUGGUGAGACAGCCUAGGGAUGAGCCUACUCUCCAUCAGGUAGUUGGUGAGAUAAAAGCUUACCAAGCCGAUGACGGAUAACCGGUGUGAGAGCAUGAACGGUCACAAGGGCACUGAGAGACGGGCCCUACUCCUACGGGAGGCAGCAGUGGGGAAUCUUGGACAAUGGGCGAAAGCCUGAUCCAGCGACGCCGCGUGGAGGAAGAAGUCCUUCGGGAUGUAAACUUCUGAACUAGCCGAAUAAAAGGCCUGUGGACACACAGGAGAAGAAAGUAGGCUAGGAAAAGUCCCGGCUAACUACGUGCCAGCAGCCGCGGUAAGACGUAGGGGGCAAGCGUUACCCGGAAUUACUGGGCGUAAAGGGGGCGUAGGCGGUAAAAGAAGUCAUCUGUGAAAACCUAUUGCUCAACGAUAGGCUAGCGGAUGAAACUGAAUUACUUGAGGGCACCAGAGGUAGACGGAAUUACCCGAGUAGGGGUGAAAUCCGCAGAUACGGGUAGGAACGCCGGUGGAGAAGUCGGUCUACUGGGGUGCACCAGACGCUGAGGCCCGAAAGCUAGGGGAGCAAACCGGAUUAGAUACCCGGGUAGUCCUAGCCGUAAACGAUGCUCACUAGGUGUAGGGAGUGAUAAACUCUCUGUGCUGAAGCGAACGCGCUAAGUGAGCCGCCUGGGGAGUACGUCCGCAAGGAUGAAACUCAAAGGAA